UAGGGAAUCUUCGGCAAUGGACGGAANNNUGGACCGAGCAACCCCGCGUGAGUGAAGAAGGUUUUCGGAUCGUAAAGCUCUGUCGUAAGAGAAGAACGAGUGUGAGAGUGGAAAGUUCACACUGUGACGGUAUCUUACCAGAAAGGGACGGCUAACUACGUGCCAGCAGCCGCGGUAAUACGUAGGUCCCGAGCGUUGUCCGGAUUUAUUGGGCGUAAAGCGAGCGCAGGCGGUUAGAUAAGUCUGAAGUUAAAGGCUGUGGCUUAACCAUAGUAGGCUUUGGAAACUGUUUAACUUGAGUGCAAGAGGGGAGAGUGGAAUUCCAUGUGUAGCGGUGAAAUGCGUAGAUAUAUGGAGGAACACCGGUGGCGAAAGCGGCUCUCUGGCUUGUAACUGACGCUGAGGCUCGAAAGCGUGGGGAGCAAACAGGAUUAGAUACCCUGGUAGUCCACGCUGUAAACGAUGAGUGCUAGGUGUUAGACCCUUUCCGGGGUUUAGUGCCGUAGCUAACGCAUUAAGCACUCCGCCUGGGAGUACGACCGCAAGUUG
Molecule: ribosomal RNA, 549 nt
Filed under: uncultured bacterium
Lineage: Bacteria
Description: bacterial SSU rRNA
Rfam family: Bacterial small subunit ribosomal RNA
Source: RNAcentral